RNAcentral lists this long non-coding RNA (5378 nucleotides) under Sus scrofa (pig). RNAcentral's name for it is "lncRNA (ENSSSCG00060009471.1)". The record is from RNAcentral. Lineage: Eukaryota; Metazoa; Chordata; Mammalia; Artiodactyla; Suidae.
GCUUCAAAAUCUAUGUAGUCUCUUAAGUUCCAAAUCUUUCUGCAAUUACCCUUGAAAAAAUUGAAGAUAAUGUUAGAUAAAUAGGCAGGGAUUUGGGGGGAACCUAUUAUUGGAAAUUGCCAUUAUGAAAAACUCUGUUCUUUAAUGUGGGUGGGGAAUGGAAAGCUCUGGAUAAUGUAGAAUUCUGGUAAAGAAGCAAGUGUAUUGAAGUAAUUUGACUUUGCCUUUGAGAGCUCACAGGGCCUGUCAAGACCUUAUAGUAUCUCAGCAUCACCAGCAACACUACAAACACUAAUUAUCAGUAUGCUCCAGAUGUGCUGAUGUGCUCAUUAACAGAGCCUGAGAGAAUAUGCAAUACAACAGGGUUGACUAUAUUUGCUUUUGAAAUACUGGGAGUGAAGUGAGUGUUAGGGUCCUUGGAGACAUGACAAGAAGCCCAUCAGUUUGCUAUGUAAAUUACCACAUCCACACUAAGCUGGUGAAGGUAUGUCAUGAGUUAGAACUACUGCGGAGUGAUAACUAAGACAGUGGUAAAGAGUUAGUUGGUAAUUCAUAGAGCCAUUUCCCAGGGGAGGGAAAAUGUUCUUUCUGUCCUCCCAGGCUCCAAAUAGCUUUCUGGCAGGGGAUCCAAGAGAACCCACUUGGAUUUUUACAGCACAUCACAGAAUAUCACUGCUUGUGCAUGGUCUUAAUCUAUAAAAGUUCCCCACAUUGUGAGAUUGGUUGUGUUGGAGGAGAGCCAAUGAAAACCCACACAUGAGCUGAUAAAUGAGGGAACCAGGGCAUUUGUACUGCAAUUCUUCCCCCGCUUUUCUGCAUAAGGACCCUCUUCUAUGCCAGCUGAACUUGGCCAACAUCAUUGCCUUCCUGUCUAGGCUUACGUGUCUCCUUGCUUUGUCCAUCUUAUUCCCACCACUUAAAAUGAUCUCUUACUCCAUUUCUUCUUAUUGUAAUUCACCUAAUUUCUCAAGGAAUAAUUCAUAUCCUGCUUUCAUGAAGACAUUCAGGGAUUCCCUUUCAGAAGAGUUUUUCCUUUUAUUCUAAACUCAAAGAUGUUCAUAAAACAUUUCCUGAGUACUUGCCGUGUAUCAGAAAGGCAAUGUCCUGGCUAUUGGGGAGUGUAUUAGUUUCCUAUGGCUGCCAUAACAAGUUACCAUAAAUGCAGUGGCUUAAAACAAUAGACAUUCAUACUCUCAGUUCUGGAAGCCAGAAGUUCAAAAUCAGUUUUAUUGGCUUUUAGCUCCUAAACCAAAUUAUAAGCUGCUAGACAGUAGAGGUGCUCAGAAAUCUUUGUGUCUCUCCAACAAUGACUGGCCCAGCCCAGACUCUUCCACUUGAAUAAGUGAAUAUAGGAAUAAAAUAGCAAAUUGAAAUGAUCUAGAGAAAAAGAGAUGCAUGAGCAAAUAAAUGUACUUCAAGAAUUCACCUUGGCUUACUACAUAGCCCAUUUACAUAAUAUUUUCAAAAUGACAAAAUUAUGGCUUUGGAGAACAAAUCAGUGGUUGCCAGGGAGGGGAGUGGGCGUGGCUAUAAGGGAUAGCACAAAGGCGAUUUGUGGUGAUGGAAUCCUUCUGUAUCUCAGUUGCAGUGGAGGUUAACAGUUUCAGGAAUGUGAUAACAUGACCUAGAACUACACACACGCAUUGUAUCCAUGCCAAGUUCCUGGUUUUGAUACUUUACUAUAUUUAUGUGAAUUGUAACCAUUGGAGGAAACUAGGUAAAGGAGAAGCAGAACCUCUCUCAUGUCAUUAAAACUUUCAGUAACUCUGUAGUUACUUAAAAUUUAAAACUAGUCACCCCAUUUCUCAGAAAAAUAAGCAAUGAGUGACAGAAAUAUAUAAAGCAAGGAAAAGUAAUAUUGGGAAAUUGAGGGUUAAGAAAAAGGUGAGGGUAAUGUGCUCAUAAUCAUAACUAAACUUGAGCUACAAAGUUCACUCUGAGCUUCCUAAAGUCCAAAGAAAAAUGUGGCUCUGUUAGAGUUUCUCCUUUCCCCCUGAACCAUUUCUCUAAUCCAGAGGAUAGCACCUUUAGAACCUAAGUGAAUCAAAGAGAGUUUUCUGUUAUUUUGUCUUAUAGUGAAAACACUGAGCAGUGGCUCAUAUCAGUCUUUUCUAUUCUGCAUUUGGGUCAGGGUAUAUUCAAGAGCUUGAUCUGCCCAAUUUAUGCCCUGGAUAUGAUGGUCAACAGGAAAAGCCAGGGCCCAUGAUGGAAAAACCAGCAUGGUAGAAUUUUCCAAGUGCAGUGCCUGCUGAGCUUCUUCUAAAACGUCACUGUGUAGCAGAAGAGGUUAAUAUCUUGGGAGGAAAAAUUAACUUUAAAUCACAUGAGGGGUGUUUUUUUUAUAAAUUAGUGGGCUCAGUUGGAAGUUGGGACUUAUCUUCUAUAGAAAGUCUUUUUGUCUUACUGGAAUCUGCUUGUGUGUAUAAUCACAUUAGAUAUUAUGUAUGGGCCCUACCAGGAUGUAUUAAUGAUGAGAAAUUAGAAAAUUUUGUUAAAUGUACAGAUGUAAGCAAGAUUUUGUUCUGGCUCCUGGAUAUGUGCUUGAUUAUCAGUAUAUAAAUAACUUUAAUAUCUAGACCUGAAUGGAAAGAGAGAUGCUUUGAUUACUACAAAAGCACUUCUUGGUACAAAAGUUUUAUGAGGUUCUACUCCUAGCAUGAUUGUUGCUUUGUCUUGGCAGUUGGACCAAUUAUGUUCUUUCUCUGAAUUACGAAUUUUAGCUUUGCUUUUUUCAAUGCUAGGUUUAAUUGAGAUGUAUGUGUGCUUCCAUGCAUGUCCACAAAUCCCUCACCACUGGUGUUAAGGAGUCAGUUCUUGCUUAUGUAUAUUAAUAAUGGGAGGAAAAAAUGCAGGGAAAAAUCAAGCCACUGUGGAUUUAAGAGCUCCCCUCUGGUGUCUACAAUGGUGGCUGGAAGAUGAGCCAUGUGAAAGAAGGAGAGGUUAAAGUUAGAGAGCUCAAGGGGUUCACCAAGGAAGUAACAAAUUGAUGCUGGAAGCAGACUCAUUCAAAAAGGGGUCCAGAAUUGCUAAAAGUGGCUAAUCCUUUCACUUCAGCCCACCAUGUGCCCAGAACUCUGUUAGCGAAUGGCCCUACUUUCUGGGUCAUUAGUCCAAAAGUUAGAAUGAGACUCUGCUACUUCCCCUUAGGAAUUAUUUAUAUAAUGUCAACCAAGGGUUUUAGUUACAAGAACAGCUGUCUAAUUUAAGAAGAAAGGUAAUUUAUUAAAAAAAUUAGGAAUCUCAUGGAGUCACUGGAAAGAUGGAAAGACAAAAUUUGAAGGCUGUGUAGACAGACCAUGUUGUAGAAUUGGUUCAGUGGCAGUGCUACUGUGAUUAUUGCUCAGUGCCAGAUUCCAGGCAAGUUUGCAGCCUGGCUGCCCCUAACAGGGCUAAUUGUGAGGGAGGCCGGGAAAGUGAGUUGGGCACUGCCUCAUACUAAGACUCCUACGGUGGGAGUUUCCCAGUUAUAGAAAUGGUUUCAAAUUCUGGGAAGCCAAAAAUCAAACCAACAAAAUACAAAUGAAUAUCCAGCAACUUCCCUCUGGUUUCUGAUACUCUAAAACCCUAUUGCAACAUAAUAAGGAAAUUUCCCCCCCAAAUUCAAGUCUUGUAAAACAUGGGGUGAAUUAUUGUGAAAUAAAUGAAAUAACUGGGUGAGACAGCAGAGCUAGCUGGAUGGCAGUUCUGAGAGUCUCAGUGCUUGAUUCAAUUGCGGCCAGGUCCCAGUUGCCAUAUGGUGCCAUUUGGGGCAUCUGUCAGCUCCAGUUUAAGUAUCAAAGGAAUGAUUCUGGAUUCUGCAGCUGAAAGGGGUUCCAGAACUGUUACAGUGAUUCUAAAACUCUUCUAUUUAGUUGGUUCCCAUCUAAUUGUCCUGAUCUGGAGAGAAAAACAGUGAUGCAGCCAUAUACCCUCUCUUGCUCUACUUUACAUAUGGGAUUGCUUGCUGUUUUCCUGCGCAGCUUCAUCCUCCUUCCAUAUUCCUCCUUCCUGCUACAGAAGUAGAAGAUAAUAAAUUAAGCCCACCCCAAUCUGAGAACAGAGGUUGGACAGAGACUGAGACAGUUACCGAUGGUGCUAUAUUCAAGUCUGCAUUAAGAGGAAAAUGGAGCCUUUCCCUUAAGUGAUUGUGGACCACCCCUGCAGACCAUACCUUACAACUGGCCUGGAGGAAGGAAGUGUGUGUUGAAUGAAUAACAACAGAUGGCCUUCAGACUUGAACUGAAACAUCCACUCUUUCUGGGUCUCCAGCCUGCCAGCCCAUCCUGCAGAUUUUGGACUUGCCAGUCUCCAGAAUUAUGUGAGCCAACACCUUAGCAUAAAUCUCUCUCUAUACACACACAGACACACACAGACACACACACACACACACAUCCUGUUGGUUCUGUUUGUCUGGAAAAUCCUAAUACAAAGGUAGCUAUUGGUGGUCCCGGGAAGAGGAGAAUGAACGUUGCUGAGACCCUAACAGAUUUGUGGGAUCUGAGAGUACAGGAUGCCUAUGCUCAGUUUUCCUGGUAGAGUUUUUUUUUUGUUUGUUUUGUUUUUUGCCAUUUCUUGGGCCGCUCUCAUGGCAUAUGGAGGUUCCCAGGCUAGGGGUCAAGUCGGAGCUAUAGCCUCCGGCCCACGCCAGAGCCACAGCAACGUGGAAUCUGAGCUGUGUCUGCAACCUACACUACAGCUCAUGGCAACGCUGGAUACUUAACCCACUGAGCAAGGGCAGGGAUUGAACCUGCAACCUCAUGGUUCUUAGUCGGAUUCGUUAACCACUGAGCCACGACGGGAACUCCAUUUUUUUUUAUGUUUUUAUUUUAUUUUUAGAUUUCACUAGUUUAUUUAUUUUUCUUCCAGUUUGAGAUGUAGUUGACAUAUAAUACUAUAUGAAUUUAGGUGUACAGAAUAAAGUUUUGAUACACAUAAAAUAAGUUCAGUUAACAUCCUUCACCUCCUAUUGUCAUGAAACAAAUCAUUUCUUUCUUGUGUUGAGAACUUUUAGGAUUUACUCUCUUAGCAACUUUCAAAUAUACCAUGUAGCAGAUUAACUAUAGUUCUUAUGUCAUACAUCUUCAGUACUUAUAACUGGAAGUUGUACAUUUUAACCAAAUUCAUCCAAUUUCCCCACCCAAACCCUCUGUCUCUGAACAAUCACAAGUGGUGCUCAGUGUUACUGAUCAUCAGGGAAAUGCAAAUCAAAAUGACAGUGAGAUAUCACCUCAUACAUGUUAUAAUGGCUAUUAUCAAAACUAUAAGAGAUAACAAAUGAUGAAAGGAAGAGGAGAAAGGGAAUGCUUGUGAACUGUUGGUGGAAUUAUAAUUUGGUGCAGCCACUAUGGAAAACAAUAUGGAGGUUCCUCAAAAAAUUAAAAAUACAGCUACCAUUUGAU